Molecule: ribosomal RNA, 492 nt
Filed under: uncultured bacterium
Lineage: Bacteria
Description: partial 16S ribosomal RNA
Rfam family: Bacterial small subunit ribosomal RNA
Source: RNAcentral
AGUGAACGCUGGCGGCAGGCCUAACACAUGCAAGUCGAACGGCAGCACAGUAAGAGCUUGCUCUUACGGGUGGCGAGUGGCGGACGGGUGAGGAAUAUAUCGGAAUCUACUUUUUCGUGGGGGAUAACGUAGGUAAACUUACGCUAAUACCGCAUACGACCUACGGGUGAAAGCAGGGGAUCUUCGGACCUUGCGCGAUUGAAUGAGCCGAUGUCGGAUUAGCUAGUUGGCGGGGUAAAGGCCCACCAAGGCGACGAUCCGUAGCUGGUCUGAGGGGAUGAUCAGCCACACUGGAACUGGGACACGGUCCAGAGUCCUACGGGAGGCAGCAGUGGGGAAUAUGGGACAAUGGGCGGAAGCCUGAUCCAACCAUACCGCGUGGGUUAAGAAGGCCUUGGGUUUGUAAAGCCCUUUUGUUGGGAAAGAAAAGCAGUAGGUUAAUACCCCGCUGUUCUGACGGUACCCAAAGAAUAAGCACCGGCUAACUUCGUG